This 254-nucleotide ribosomal RNA is filed under the name uncultured bacterium. RNAcentral describes it as "partial 16S ribosomal RNA". It matches the Rfam family "Bacterial small subunit ribosomal RNA", at positions 524 to 776 of the family's 1533-position model. The record is from RNAcentral.
UACGGAGGGUGCGAGCGUUAAUCGGAAUUACUGGGCGUAAAGCGUGCGCAGGCGGUUCGUUGUGUCGGCGGUGAAAGCCCCGGGCUUAACCUGGGAAUGGCCGUUGAAACUGGCGAACUGGGAGUGUGGCAGAGGGGGGUGGAAUUCCGCGUGUAGCAGUGAAAUGCGUAGAUAUGCGGAGGAACACCGAUGGCGAAGGCAAUCCCCUGGGCCUGCACUGACGCUCAUGCACGAAAGCGUGGGGAGCAAACAGG